CAUGUCUUUUUGAAAAAAAUAUAAAGUCUAGUCUGCUCAAUGAAUAAAAAUUUAAAUAGCUGCAGUAUUUUGACUGUACAAAGGUAGCAUAAUAAAUAGUUUUUUAAUUGAAAGCUGGAAUGAAGGAUUGGACGAGAAAAUUACUGUCUCAAUAUUAUUAUAAAUUGAAAUUAACUUUUUAGUUAAAAGGCUAAAAUAAUUUUAAAAGACGAGAAGACCCUAUAGAGUUUUAUAAUUUAUAAUUUUUAAUUUAUUUAGAAUUAUUAAUAAUUAAAUUAAUAUAAAUUAUUUGGUUGGGGUGAUUAAAAAAUUUAUAAAACUUUUUUAUUUAAUUGAUUAUUUAUGUAUAAAUUUUUUAUCUAUAUAUUAAAAUUAAAAUAAAUUACCUUAGGGAUAACAGCGUAAUAUAUUUUUGAAGUUCUUAUUUAAAAAUUUGUUUGCGACCUCGAUGUUGGAUUAAAAUUUAUUAUU
Molecule: ribosomal RNA, 471 nt
Filed under: Rhagonycha sp. UPOL 001314
Lineage: Eukaryota; Metazoa; Arthropoda; Insecta; Coleoptera; Cantharidae
Description: partial 16S ribosomal RNA
Source: RNAcentral